CAACCUGCCCAUCACUUGGGGAUAACCUUGCGAAAGUAAGACUAAUACCCAAUGAUAUCUCUAGAAGACAUCUGAAGGAGAUUAAAGAUUCAUCGGUGAUGGAUGGGGAUGCGUCUGAUUAGCUUGUUGGCGGGGUAACGGCCCACCAAGGCGACGAUCAGUAGGGGUUCUGAGAGGAAGGUCCCCCACAUUGGAACUGAGACACGGUCCAAACUCCUACGGGAGGCAGCAGUGAGGAAUAUUGGUCAAUGGGCGAGAGCCUGAACCAGCCAUGUAGCGUGCAGGAUGACGGCCCUAUGGGUUGUAAACUGCUUUUAUAAGGGAAUAAAGUGAGCCUCGUGAGGCUUUUUGCAUGUACCUUGUGAAUAAGGACCGGCUAAUUCCGUGCCAGCAGCCGCGGUAAUACGGAAGGUCCGGGCGUUAUCCGGAUUUAUUGGGUUUAAAGGGAGCGUAGGCCGGAGAUUAAGCGUGUUGUGAAAUGUAGAUGCUCAACAUCUGCACUGCAGCGCGAACUGGUUUCCUUGAGUACGCACAAAGUGGGCGGAAUUCGUGGUGUAGCGGUGAAAUGCUUAGAUAUCACGAAGAACUCCGAUUG
Molecule: ribosomal RNA, 595 nt
Filed under: uncultured Bacteroidota bacterium
Lineage: Bacteria; Pseudomonadati; Bacteroidota
Description: bacterial SSU rRNA
Rfam family: Bacterial small subunit ribosomal RNA
Source: RNAcentral